Molecule: ribosomal RNA, 512 nt
Filed under: uncultured eukaryote
Lineage: Eukaryota
Description: bacterial SSU rRNA
Rfam family: Eukaryotic small subunit ribosomal RNA
Source: RNAcentral
UAGUCAUAUGCUUGUCUCAAAGAUUAAGCCAUGCAUGUCUAAGUACAAGCCUCACUAAGGUGAAACCGCGAAUGGCUCAUUAAAUCACACCUAAUCUACUGGAUAGUAGUCAGUUACUCGGAUACCUGCGGUAAUUCUGCAGCUAAUACGUGCAAACAAGCCUCGACUUUGGAAGAGGCGCUUUUAUUAGAUCAAAACCGAUCGGCUUCGGCCGUCCUUUUGGUGAUUCUGAAUAACUUUGAGCUGAUCGCAUGGCCUCGAGCCGGCGACAUAUCCAUCGAAGGUGUGCCCUAUCAUCUGUCGACUGUGGCAUAGACGCCCACAUAGAUCAGCGUGUUCUCCCUUUCUGAGAAGAACGGGUAAACCGCUGAACCCUAUUCGUGGUAGGGAUCGGGGCUUGCAAUUAUUCCCCGUGAACCAGGAAUUCCCAGUAGGCGCGAGUCAUAAGCUCGCGUCGAUUACGUCCCUGCCCUUUGUACACACCGCCCGUCACUAAUACCGAUUGAAUGGUU